RNAcentral lists this ribosomal RNA (311 nucleotides) under uncultured bacterium. Its description in RNAcentral is "bacterial SSU rRNA". It matches the Rfam family "Bacterial small subunit ribosomal RNA", at positions 28 to 339 of the family's 1533-position model. The record is from RNAcentral.
GACGAACGUUGGCGGCGUGCCUAAUACAUGCAAGUCAACUGAAAUACCGGUAGCAAUACUGGUAUGGAGGUGGCGCACGGGUGAGUAACACGUAGGUAAUCUGCCUUCAGGUCUGACAUAACCCAUCGAAAGGUGAGCUAAUAUCAGAUGAUGCAGCGGCUUGACAUCAAGACAGUUGUUAAAGCUUCGGCGCCUGAAGAUGAGCCNGCGUCUGAUUAGCUAGUUGGCGGGUAACGCCCACCAGGCUGCGAUCAGUAGCUGGUCUGAGAGGAUGAUCAGUCACACUGGAACUGAGACACGGUCCAGACUCC